This 350-nucleotide ribosomal RNA is filed under the name uncultured Oxalicibacterium sp. RNAcentral's name for it is "bacterial SSU rRNA". It matches the Rfam family "Bacterial small subunit ribosomal RNA", at positions 30 to 378 of the family's 1533-position model. The record is from RNAcentral. Lineage: Bacteria; Pseudomonadati; Pseudomonadota; Betaproteobacteria; Burkholderiales; Oxalobacteraceae.
AUUGAACGCUGGCGGCAUGCCUUACACAUGCAAGUCGAACGGCAGCACGGGAGCUUGCUCCUGGUGGCGAGUGGCGAACGGGUGAGUAAUAUAUCGGAACGUGCCCAGUAGUGGGGGAUAGCCCGGCGAAAGCCGGAUUAAUACCGCAUACGAUCUACGGAUGAAAGCGGGGGAUCGCAAGACCUCGCGCUAUUGGAGCGGCCGAUAUCUGAUUAGCUAGUUGGUGAGGUAAAGGCUCACCAAGGCUACGAUCAGUAGCUGGUCUGAGAGGACGACCAGCCACACUGGAACUGAGACACGGUCCAGACUCCUACGGGAGGCAGCAGUGGGGAAUUUUGGACAAUGGGGGA